This 108-nucleotide small RNA is filed under the name Vibrio azureus NBRC 104587. RNAcentral describes it as "Qrr RNA". It matches the Rfam family "Qrr RNA". Rfam says of the family: This family represents a set of small RNAs (the Qrr RNAs) that are thought to be involved in the regulation of quorum sensing in Vibrio species. It is believed that these RNAs, guided by a protein, Hfq, can mediate the destabilisation of the quorum-sensing master regulators LuxR/HapR mRNAs. The record is from Rfam by way of RNAcentral. Lineage: Bacteria; Pseudomonadati; Pseudomonadota; Gammaproteobacteria; Vibrionales; Vibrionaceae.
UGACCCUUCUUAAGCCGAGGGUCACCUAGCCAACUGACGUUGUUAGUGAAUGUUAAUUGUUCACACUUAUAUACCGCCAAUCACCUUAUUGUGUUUGGCGUUUUUUUU